This 649-nucleotide long non-coding RNA is filed under the name Physcomitrium patens. RNAcentral's name for it is "long non-coding RNA (PPAT_LNC000988)". Lineage: Eukaryota; Viridiplantae; Streptophyta; Bryopsida; Funariales; Funariaceae. The record is from RNAcentral.
GUUUUACAAUGUGACUGCACAGUGCAAUAUUAGGUUCAGUAUGAACGACCCAAACAUUUCAAAGCAAUCCAAGGAACAAGGGAGGAGCAAGCUUUGCAAGCUCUGCCCUUCUUCCAUUGCAUCCUGCCCCUUGCAUAUUGCAUUUUCUAGAGGCAACACUGAGCUUGCUGACAGUUAUCAGUUCAGUAGAAGCAAGACUAUCCACACAAGAUUGGGUCACACACUUGGAAUUCUGCCACUUGAACGAGUGUUUAUCGUUGAAGUGAAGUUACCCUAGACAUGCAUCUGUGCUGUGGAGGGCUAUAACCAGACAUGGAGGUAGCAAAUCCUGCUUGGAAGAUGAAGGAGAAGAGCUUGCCUCUGCUCCAUUUAGUGGUCACUUUGUUGAAGCUGGUAGCAGAAAAGACACACCAUCGCCACUGCUACUGCACUGAUGGAUAACCCUGCCUCUGCAAUAGCAUGAUUCCAAUACGAGACUAGGCGGUGAGUUUCUCCUAUGUUGAGACUCUAGACUGUAGAGAGAGAGGCAAAGACGCCAACGAGAGCCGUACACACACAACAUGGUCUGGAAAAGUACACGAGAAAUGAGGUCUGUUGGUCUUGGAGUCGUGACGACCACGGCACCUGCUUCAAAGUGAAACAUGAGCUG